GCACAAUAUUGUUAUUAUAUUAUUGUAACAUCUCUUAUAUUCUGUAGAUUCCAAAUGUUUAGAAGUAGCAGAAGUACUGCUGGGCCUACCUGCAGACGAAAGAGAAGACAAGUCACGCAAACACGCAAUGUGACUUUCAGAAUGAUUCUGUUAAAAAAACAUGUUGAGCGAUAUACAUCACAUACUGGUAAAUACAGUUUACUAUUUGUUAAAUCACUUUUCCAGAUGAGUAAUGCAUAUUUUUAAAUGAAAAUGCAUGUUUAUGUAUAUUUUCCCAGAUGGAAGUCCACAAUGCAAAAUCAUCAUCCCAUUACACCUAAAUGAAAUUGAAUUUAGGGAGGUGCUGAGAGAAAAAUUCCCUGACCUCCCAGACAGAUUUGAAUUUUGCAAAGUAGCCGGAAACCGAAAGGUGAUACCAAUUCAGCUGUCAGUCUUGUGCCCAGCUGAAAUUAAAGCAAGCAAUGUGCUGGGGCGGUCAGCUCUAUACAUUAGACCACUGGACAUUCCAAGCCAAACCACUUCGGGUGCCCAUAGUCAUUCAAAUCCGGAGGCAACUGAAUCAUCUCCAUCUAUUUCCCUAAACCCAGCUGCAUCUCCAGAGCAAAACCAUACAUUUGUGUCAAGCCCCUCAACUUCCACAACAGUACAUAACAUGUCUUCACCCGCUCAAAGCCCCUCUGAAGUUGAUCAUUAUCAACGAAGACAUGGCAGAUUUUUUGAGGAAUCAAGGGAGACUGACAGUAAUUCUGAGGAUUUAGAGAUUGACAUGCUGGCUUCACCUCCAAGACACUGCAGUCCUGAUUUGCACAAAUACCUUGUGGAUAUUUUGGAGGAAUUCAGGAGGGACAAUUUAGACCUGACCACCCAUGUCACUGUCGUGGCCCGCCGAAGAAGAGUAUUACCUAGUGCGUGUGUUGCUCUUCAUAAAUCCUACUUUGAAUGGCAUAAAAUACCAAACAUUGAAUUUGUUGGUGAGAUGGCGGAAGAUUAUGGAGG
RNAcentral lists this long non-coding RNA (996 nucleotides) under Sinocyclocheilus grahami. RNAcentral's name for it is "lncRNA (ENSSGRG00000005585.1)". Lineage: Eukaryota; Metazoa; Chordata; Actinopteri; Cypriniformes; Cyprinidae. The record is from RNAcentral.